AGAACGAACGCUGGCGGCAUGCCUAAUACAUGCAAGUCGAACGAACUCUUCGGAGUUAGUGGCGCACGGGUGCGUAACGCGUGGGAAUCUGCCCCUUGGUUCGGAAUAACAGUUGGAAACGACUGCUAAUACCGGAUGAUGACGAAAGAUACAAAGAUUUAUCGCCCAGGGAUGAGCCCGCGUAGGAUUAGCUAGUUGGUGAGGUAAAGGCUCACCAAGGCGACGAUCCUUAGCUGGUCUGAGAGGAUGAUCAGCCACACUGGGACUGAGACACGGCCCAGACCUCCGU
This 289-nucleotide ribosomal RNA is filed under the name uncultured soil bacterium. RNAcentral describes it as "partial 16S ribosomal RNA". It matches the Rfam family "Bacterial small subunit ribosomal RNA", at positions 26 to 342 of the family's 1533-position model. The record is from RNAcentral.